This 145-nucleotide ribosomal RNA is filed under the name Lactiplantibacillus plantarum. RNAcentral describes it as "Lactobacillus plantarum partial 16S ribosomal RNA". It matches the Rfam family "Bacterial small subunit ribosomal RNA", at positions 19 to 142 of the family's 1533-position model. Lineage: Bacteria; Bacillati; Bacillota; Bacilli; Lactobacillales; Lactobacillaceae. The record is from RNAcentral.
CUGGCUCAGGACGAACGCUGGCGGCGUGCCUAAUACAUGCAAGUCGAACGAACUCUCCUAUUGAUUGGUGCUUGCAUCAUGAUUUACAUUUGACUGAGUGGCGAACUGGUGAGUAACACGUGGGAAACCUGCCCAGAAGCGGGGG